GCGCGCGCCAGGGGGCACUCUCUCCUCUUCAGCUCCCUUGCGCGCCGAGUAGGGAUGCCUGCGCCGGAAGAUGACGUCAUCUUACGGCUCCGGUAUCAGUGUGGUGCGCGAGGGAGCCGAAAAGGAGAGAGUGCUCCCUUGCGCGCGC
This is a non-coding RNA of Pelobates cultripes (western spadefoot toad), 148 nucleotides long. The record is from the annotation of a GenBank genome assembly. NCBI's taxonomy places the organism in Eukaryota, Metazoa, Chordata, Amphibia, Anura, Pelobatidae.